RNAcentral lists this ribosomal RNA (537 nucleotides) under uncultured bacterium. RNAcentral's name for it is "bacterial SSU rRNA". It matches the Rfam family "Bacterial small subunit ribosomal RNA", at positions 492 to 1024 of the family's 1533-position model. The record is from RNAcentral.
CCCGGCUAACUACGUGCCAGCAGCCCGCGGUAAUACGUAGGGGGCAAGCGUUGUCCGGAUUCAUUGGGCGUAAAGAGCUCGUAGGCGGUUCAGUAAGUCGGGUGUGAAAGCUCCGAGCUCAACUCGGAGAGGCCACCCGAUACUGCUGUGACUUGAGUCCAGUAGAGGAGCGUGGAACUCCUGGUGUAGCGGUGGAAUGCGCAGAUAUCAGGAAGAACACCUGCAGCGAAGGCGGCGCUCUGGGCUGGAACUGACGCUGAGGAGCAAAAGCGUGGGUAGCAAACAGGAUUAGAUACCCUGGUAGUCCACGCCGUAAACGUUGGGCACUAGGUGUGGGGAGCCGUCAACGCUCUCUGUGCCGUAGCUAACGCAUUAAGUGCCCCGCCUGGGGAGUACGGCCGCAAGGCUAAAACUCAAAGGAAUUGACGGGGGCCCGCACAAGCGGCGGAGCAUGUUGCUUAAUUCGAGGCAACGCGAAGAACCUUACCUAGGUUGAACUAUGCAGGAAAAGCCACAGAGAUGUGGUGUCCCUUCGGG